GGGAGGAGUGAGCUACAAAGGUAGUGACACAAUAGGAAUGCUGUUGAAAGGUGGAUCUCGGGCUCUGAGAGCGAAAUUAUCGACCACAGUGAGAGGGCAUCACCUGGGGAUUUGGCUCCAUCCAUUACUGUUGCUGUUCUAUCACUUAUUGGAGCCACUACAUAGCAUCGAUCAAUGCCUGGAUCUAAUGAGCUAGGACAUCAAGUGACGAC
This 212-nucleotide long non-coding RNA is filed under the name Elaeis guineensis (African oil palm). Its description in RNAcentral is "long non-coding RNA (EGUI_LNC007143)". The record is from RNAcentral. Lineage: Eukaryota; Viridiplantae; Streptophyta; Magnoliopsida; Arecales; Arecaceae.